AUAUCUACCUGGCAGGGUAGAUACUGUGAUCGCAAAGGUGGUCUUCCCAGGGUGAGGCUUAUCCGUUGAACUCUGGGUAUGCUGACCCCUGUGAUUUCCCCAAAUGUGGGAAACUCAACUGGGAAAAA
Small nuclear RNA from Loxodonta africana (African savanna elephant), 128 nucleotides. Its record names the gene U1. It matches the Rfam family "U1 spliceosomal RNA". Rfam says of the family: U1 is a small nuclear RNA (snRNA) component of the spliceosome (involved in pre-mRNA splicing). Its 5' end forms complementary base pairs with the 5' splice junction, thus defining the 5' donor site of an intron. NCBI's taxonomy places the organism in Eukaryota, Metazoa, Chordata, Mammalia, Proboscidea, Elephantidae. The record is from Ensembl.